This 208-nucleotide ribosomal RNA is filed under the name uncultured bacterium. RNAcentral describes it as "partial 16S ribosomal RNA". It matches the Rfam family "Bacterial small subunit ribosomal RNA", at positions 1293 to 1500 of the family's 1533-position model. The record is from RNAcentral.
UCGGAUUGUAGUCUGCAACUCGACUACAUGAAGCCGGAAUCGCUAGUAAUCGCGGAUCAGAAUGCCGCGGUGAAUACGUUCCCGGGUCUUGUACACACCGCCCGUCACACCAUGGGAGCCGGAAAUGCCCGAAGUCAGUGACCCAACCGCGAGGAGGGAGCUGCCGAAGGCAGGUCUGGUAACUGGGGUGAAGUCGUAACAAGGUACC